CAAGGACCAGGAGCGGGAGCCGAGCCUCGCGGCCCGGGGCACGGCGCCGCCUGCCCCUCCCCGGCAGUGCCUCCCGACCCCCUGCCCUCCGCUGGGACAUGGCCUGAGGCCCCGCCCGCCGCCCGGGACCCCUCCCCCACGCUGCCCCCGGACCCUCGCCCCAGGACCGCGGGGUCUCUUCCCGGCCCCGCCGCCCGCCCCGGCGAGAACAGGCCCGGCGGGCAAGGCGGCGGCGGACCGAGGGAGGCCUGGCCCGGCAGCGGGGAGAAGGGUGCGGCGCAGCCCGAGUUUCCCACCUUUUAUCCUGGCCCAGACGCGGCUGGGGCGGACGGGACCUCUCGCGCUCUGCCUCCUCCUCUUGCUUCAUGGAGCCAUGCGCCUGGGUGGGGGCUCCCGAGAGAAGCUGGCCUGCGGGCGGGCCGGACGCGCUGCGCGGACGGGACGGGGCGAAGGAGGCCGGCAGGCGGAGGAGGAAGCGGCGGGGCGGCGGCGGCGGCGGCGGCCGGGAAGAACUAGAGGUAUUCCCCGGGCGGCUGGAGGACUGAGUCGAGCCGGGACCCGAGUCCUCCGGUAUCCCAGCAGCCACCGGAGGCAGUGAGGUAAUGGAGGAAGAAUGUAGGGAGUCCUCCGGUGGACCACACUCCUUCUAGCGAGCCGCGGAAACCAUAGAGAUCAGGGCUCAGCCGGAGGGCCGGCCCACUGCUGUCACGUGGCCUCCAUCCGUGCGCUUUAUUGGCUGGUGCUGGCUUUACGGGGUUGAAUUUUGGACGCUGCCUGCCAUUCGUGGGACCGAGUUUCAGGCAGCUGGAAUAAAGAGAGAUAUCGGGGGAAAGCCGCGAGAAGGCCAGCGUCCCUCGCUGGGAGCAGAGCUAGCCGAGUAGGGCGCCCGGCUGUCAAACUGGCCGGCGCAGUGCACGCUGGGCCGCCCCGGAGCGAUCGCAGAGCCCGUCGGGAGUCGUAGUCCCGGACGGGCCCGCGGCAUCGUCCGCGACGCAGCUCGGGAUCCGGGUCGGGGUGUCGGCCGGGUUGCUGCCGGGCACCGUCGAGCGUUAGCCACCCAGCAUUGAGCUGCCAGCGGCUGUUCUCCCUAAGCACCCUCGCUCACGUCGCCUCGCCUCGCCUGACCGGCCGCAGCCUUGGAUACCAGCCUUAAAUCGAGCCGACUACGGCCCAGCCCCGCCCGCGGCGAGGUGCGCGGGGUUCGGUGCGAGCCCCUCGCCCCUGGCCGGGCCAGCCUCUUGAUGCACCGGGGACGGGCGCGCCCAUCCGACUCUUCGAGGGGCGGCAGGGCCCCAUCUGUGUCUUUCGCUCUCGAGCCCCCAGCUAGAGUUGGCUUCAGCGGAAUACCUACUGUGCGGGAUUAUUCAACAAGCCGAUUGAUCACAUUCUUCAGCUCUAGCAGUGCAAAGGCUUCACUGAAAAAGAACAUUACAACUUUUUUGAAAGAAAUUUGGGGGUAAAUUUAAUUUUAAAUACUGAUUUUUGAUAACAUUUGAUCUUAUGACAGCAUUUGUAUUUUUAAUUACAGAUAGGAUUACACUAAAAGUCAUUUCUGACCUGCUCCCUUACCCUUAUGGCUAAAAUAAACUGCUAGGCCCUGAAGCAAAGGCGAGCCAUGUUCUAGAGCAAUGUCUUUCUUGUAUUAAAAUACAGCCCCAUGCUCACAAAAAAAAAAAAAAAAAAUUUUGGAGUGUAAACAUA
Homo sapiens (human) is the source of this 1701-nucleotide long non-coding RNA. Lineage: Eukaryota; Metazoa; Chordata; Mammalia; Primates; Hominidae. The record is from Ensembl.